UAUCUCUGGUUUCCCUUCAAAACGUAUAAAUCUUUCGCCUUUUACUAAAGAUUUCCGUGGAGGGGAACACUCAAAUGAGUCUUUCAUAUUUUUGAUAGUCUUGCGAUUGCAAGACU
RNAcentral lists this small nuclear RNA (116 nucleotides) under Heliconius melpomene (postman butterfly). RNAcentral's name for it is "U5 spliceosomal RNA". It matches the Rfam family "U5 spliceosomal RNA". From Rfam's summary of the family: U5 RNA is a component of both types of known spliceosome. The precise function of this molecule is unknown, though it is known that the 5' loop is required for splice site selection and p220 binding, and that both the 3' stem-loop and the Sm site are important for Sm protein binding and cap methylation. The record is from RNAcentral. Lineage: Eukaryota; Metazoa; Arthropoda; Insecta; Lepidoptera; Nymphalidae.